GACGAACGCUGGCGGCGUGCCUAAUACAUGCGAGUCGAACGCUGAAGGAGGAGCUUGCUCUUCUGGAUGAGUUGCGAACGGGUGAGUAACGCGUAGGUAACCUGCCUGGUAGCGGGGGAUAACUAUUGGAAACGAUAGCUAAUACCGCAUAAGAGUAGAUGUUGCAUGACAUUUACUUAAAAGGUGCAAUUGCAUCACUACCAGAUGGACCUGCGUUGUAUUAGCUAGUUGGUGGGGUAACGGCUUACCAAGGCGACGAUACAUAGCCGACCUGAGAGGGUGAUCGGCCACACUGGGACUGAGACACGGCCCAGACUCCUACGGGAGGCAGCAGUAGGGAAUCUUCGGCAAUGGACGGAAGUCUGACCGAGCAACGCCGCGUGAGUGAAGAAGGGUUUCGGAUCGUAAAGCUCUGUUGUAAGAGAAGAACGAGUGUGAGAGUGGAAAGUUCACACUGUGACGGUAGCUUACCAGAAAGGGACGGCUAACUACGUG
This 495-nucleotide ribosomal RNA is filed under the name uncultured bacterium. RNAcentral describes it as "partial 16S ribosomal RNA". It matches the Rfam family "Bacterial small subunit ribosomal RNA", at positions 28 to 507 of the family's 1533-position model. The record is from RNAcentral.